RNAcentral lists this ribosomal RNA (453 nucleotides) under Trichiurus lepturus (Atlantic cutlassfish). RNAcentral describes it as "partial 16S rRNA". It matches the Rfam family "Bacterial large subunit ribosomal RNA", at positions 1947 to 2549 of the family's 2925-position model. The record is from RNAcentral. Lineage: Eukaryota; Metazoa; Chordata; Actinopteri; Scombriformes; Trichiuridae.
CGUGCAAGGUAGCGUAAUCACUUGUCUUUUAAUUAAGGACCCGUAUGAAUGACAAAACGAGGGCUCAACUGUCUCCUUCUUUUAGUCAAUGAAAUUGAUCUCCCCGUGCAGAAGCGGGGAUUCAUUCAUAAGACGAGAAGACCCUAUGAAGCUUUAGACAAUCGGACAUACCCUGUUAAUACACCCCCAUAAAAGGGCCAAAACCUACCCACCCAUGUCCCCGUCUUAGGUUGGGGCGACCCCGGGGAACAAAAACCCCCCACGUGGAAUAGUAGCAUCCGCUAUCCACAACCAAGAGCCACAACUCCAAAAACCAGAACCUCUGACCACAAAUAUGACCCGGCAAUGCCGAUCAACGAACCAAGUUACUCUAGGGAUAACAGCGCAAUCCCCUUUUUAGAGGCCGCAUCAACAAGGGGGUUUACGACCUCGAUGUUGGAUCAGGACAUCCUA